AAUUCCCUACCUAAAUGCAAAGUCUGAGAGACGUGGUUCACUUCCUUUAGCUAGUCAGUUGGCAAUUCUGCAACAGUGGCUCUAACUGACGCAGCAGUUGACAGACAGCAUUACAGCGUGAAAUCCAGCUGGUGACCCGGUUCUGUGAGGAAUUCUGUUCAGGAGGUCACAUUUCAGGCUCUCCACAUCAUGUGUGACUGACUUUUACGUUAUAACAACGAUCACACACUAGGAAUGUUAUAAAGCGCCUAUAUAGGAGAUUCUUUUGUAUAUUAUCUGACUUUAUAAACUCCCAACAACAAUGUGCUUCUAUUUUUUUUCAGGCUAAAUCUACCCAAGACACUGGCUGUCAGACUGAUUUAGCUGCAAGAAUGCACUUGUCCAGGCUGAUGUGAAACCUUCCCUGUAGCAAAGCCAGUCAGAAUGGAGUUCACAGCCGCAGUGUCUGGUGACCCACAGGGACCAUGAUGAAAAUUCAUCUUCCAGAAAGUCCCAGAGCGUCCAGACCCCCUGAAAAGACCAAGAUGUAAGGUGUCUGCUGUUGAUUCCAGCUUCCACCUCAGUGACAGUGCAAGCUCAGUGAACUGUUCAAGCCUGGCUGAUCACCUGAUAACUCCUGUCAUCUGGUUAUGACAGCAUGAGGAUGUCCUCACACACCUGUAACCUAUCAGCUCAUCUGGCAGAAUAGAGAGAGAAGAGACAACACCACAUCUCCUGUUCCUGGAAAGCCUUCAGCCAUCCUUCGAUGACUGAGAACCUCCAUCAGCUCUGUCUCCUGUCUGCCUACAAUUAUAAUAAAUAUUGUGUU
This is a non-coding RNA of Nothobranchius furzeri (turquoise killifish), 808 nucleotides long. The record is from RefSeq and is a predicted model, not a curated record. NCBI's taxonomy places the organism in Eukaryota, Metazoa, Chordata, Actinopteri, Cyprinodontiformes, Nothobranchiidae.